AGGGGCUCAUAUCAAGUGUAAACUUUGAAAGAUCUGUCACUGUGGGAAGAAAAAAAAGCCCAAUUCAAUUUAAGAGGCAGUAAGAGAAAGAGGAAAAAGGAGAAAGAAGAUGCAGACAGAAUCUGAGAUACCAAAGCCAAACCAAUUGAUGAAAAGGACGUGGCGGCAUCUUCAAGUUCUGGCUUAAAUAUAUAUUUUCCCUUUUUAUGGUUUUGGAUAUUGUUGGAAGUAGGGUUGUGUUUUGCAAUGGAAUUGGGCAUUUCCCACUCAAGGCCUCUCUCAUUCUAAUCAUUGCCC
RNAcentral lists this long non-coding RNA (297 nucleotides) under Medicago truncatula (barrel medic). Its description in RNAcentral is "lncRNA gene33066". The record is from RNAcentral. Lineage: Eukaryota; Viridiplantae; Streptophyta; Magnoliopsida; Fabales; Fabaceae.